GAUGAACGCUGGCGGCGUGCCUAAUACAUGCAAGUCGAGCGAACAGAUGAGAAGCUUGCUUCUCUGAUGUUAGCGGCGGACGGGUGAGUAACACGUGGGUAACCUACCUAUAAGACUGGGAUAACUUCGGGAAACCGGAGCUAAUACCGGAUAACAUUUGGAACCGCAUGGUUCUAAAGUGAAAGAUGGUUUUGCUAUCACUUAUAGAUGGACCCGCGCCGUAUUAGCUAGUUGGUAAGGUAACGGCUUACCAAGGCGACGAUACGUAGCCGACCUGAGAGGGUGAUCGGCCACACGGGAACUGAGACACGGUCCAGACUCCUACGGGAGGCAGCAGUAGGGAAGCUUCCGCAAUGGGCGAAAGCCUGACGGAGCAACGCCGCGUGAGUGAUGAAGGGUUUCGGCUCGUAAAACUCUGUUAUUAGGGAAGAACAAAUGUGUAAGUAACUGUGCACAUCUUGACGGUACCUAAUCAGAAAGCCACGGCUAACUACGUGCCAGCCGCCGCUGUAA
Molecule: ribosomal RNA, 513 nt
Filed under: uncultured bacterium
Lineage: Bacteria
Description: partial 16S ribosomal RNA
Rfam family: Bacterial small subunit ribosomal RNA
Source: RNAcentral